RNAcentral lists this unclassified non-coding RNA (315 nucleotides) under plant metagenome. RNAcentral's name for it is "partial contains 5.8S ribosomal RNA, internal transcribed spacer 2, and large subunit ribosomal RNA". The stretch from base 1 to 105 matches the Rfam family "5.8S ribosomal RNA", at positions 50 to 154 of the family's 154-position model. The record is from RNAcentral.
GAAAUGCGAUAAGUAAUGUGAAUUGCAGAAUUCCGUGAAUCAUCGAAUCUUUGAACGCACAUUGCGCCCUCUGGCAUUCCGGGGGGCAUGCCUGUCCGAGCGUCAUUACGCACCCUCAAGCCCGGCUUGUGUGAUGGGCCCCGGCGUCUCGUUCGCGAGACGGGCCCGAAAGGCAGCGGCGGCGUCGACCCGAUGAGCCCGAGCGUAUGGGGACUUCUGUCACCCGUUCGCUCCGGAGGACCGCCGCCCGCGCCGUUAAAACUCUUCAUCACAGGUUGACCUCGGAUCGGGUAGGGAUACCCGCUGAACUUAAGC